Molecule: long non-coding RNA, 278 nt
Filed under: Aotus nancymaae (Ma's night monkey)
Lineage: Eukaryota; Metazoa; Chordata; Mammalia; Primates; Aotidae
Description: lncRNA (ENSANAG00000039050.1)
Source: RNAcentral
UGUCUCCAUUUUUUUUUCUUUGCAGGGGGAAGACAAAAUGUGCCAUGAGUGAUGGCCUUUGGUGAUCUACAGACAUCCCUGGCUCUAGCAGUCAUUUGUAUGGGGAGAUAUCAAAAGGAUGAAUCAGGGAUGUCUGUGCAUUCCCCUCAGAGCUGUGACUGCUAGCAUGAGCUCUAGUGCACAAUGUGUACCAGAAGCUUGAGGCUCCUCUAUUGCUGAGCCACAGUCCACCCAAUCUCAGAUCACCGCUGGUGGCAACAGGUAGGUUACCAGGUAGA